This 379-nucleotide ribosomal RNA is filed under the name uncultured bacterium. RNAcentral describes it as "bacterial SSU rRNA". It matches the Rfam family "Bacterial small subunit ribosomal RNA", at positions 521 to 896 of the family's 1533-position model. The record is from RNAcentral.
UAACACGUAGGGAGCAAGCGUUGUCCGGAUUUAUUGGGCGUAAAGAGCUCGUAGGCGGUUCGAUAAGUCAGGUGUGAAAACUCUGGGCUCAACUCAGAGACGCCACUUGAUACUGUCGUGACUUGAAUCUGGUAGGGGAGUGUGGAAUUCCCGGUGUAGCGGUGAAAUGCGCAGAUAUCGGGAGGAACACCAGUGGCGAAGGCGGCACUCUGGGCCAGUAUUGACGCUGAGGAGCGAAAGCGUGGGGAGCGAACAGGAUUAGAUACCCUGGUAGUCCACGCCGUAAACGUUGGGCACUAGGUGUGGGUUCCAACCAACGGAAUCCGUGCCGCAGCUAACGCAUUAAGUGCCCCGCCUGGGGAGUACGGCCGCAAGGCUA